AUGCCUGCCGCCUCCUUCUCCUGGUGUCCAUUUCUGGAACUGCUAUUUGUAUAUUGCAUGAUAUUUUAUCAGGGGGAAAAAUAAAACUGAGAUCCAAUUUCCCGAAAAUGCUGUUUGCCAUAAUGCUCAGGAGGACAGGGGGAAGAGAGAGAGUCAAGUCUCCCUACUGUCUACCUCUUGUGCAGGUUAUUUCUUUGAGAUAUUGCACACAGCAGUGAAUGGAAAUCUACAGCAGGGAAGCAAACACAGCCCAUCCCACUUCACACCAUCUUUCCUGGCGAUGUAGUUUAAUGAUCUCUCAGUCUAGAAGGAUCCUGGAGUAAGAUGAGGUUAAAGUAAGAGAAGGAAGAAGUCAACAGAUACUGGGAUGAUCUGAGGAAUACAUAUUUUUGACUGCUAAAGCAAGCUGUCCGGAUUUUUACAAAAUUAAACAUGUGUAUUACUUUCAUCACUGAUUCUCUCAAAACCCUAACAAUCGGAUGACGUGAACAAUUUGGAAGGCUGUUUUUAUGGGAAAUGGUCUUGGUUAAGCUAAGCUGACUGGCCUGCGGCCUCAUGGAUCGCUCAGUACUGCUUUUCUCCAUUUAUGCCCUUGAUCAUGGUGUGCUUUCUCUUGCCCACACUGUCCUGGCUCUGAAUCCUUUGGGUUGAUUUCCCAACUGACAUCCGCCUCUGCCCUGCUCCUCUAAUGUUGAGAACAUCCUGAUUCACCUUCUGGCAUUUUGGACCUCGGCUCUCUUACAGUUUAUGAACUCGGUUGCUCUUCCAGUGUGACAGUCUCCUGGAAUGCUCAAUCGUGGUCUCAGCUGAGCUGGACUUAGGGAAGGUGGACCUCUGGGAUGACCCCACGGAAGAGCCACACCUCCUCCCAGCCCAGGAGGGUUUCGAAUGAACACAGUGAAGCCAGAGGUUAAACAGCGGAGACUUCAGGCUGAUGGCUUUUCUUGUGGUCAGAAACCUCCCCUGAUUCCAUCUCUAAUGACCCUUUCAAGAUACAAAGGGGUCCUGGCAGACAAAGUCCACAUCAUCUUGAACUGGCCCUUUGUACUGAAAAGAUGGAAAAAAAUGGUAAACAGUGGCUGAGUCUUCUCAGAUGUAAAUUAUUAAGUCACAGGGACAGGAAAAGCUGAUUGCAUGAGAUCAAUAGUUUGAUAAUGAUGGGUUUGAGCGACACCUCUACACUUUUCACCCCUUAGCCUACCAGUGCUACUCCAUAAUCUCUAGUACAGAGUCACCAUUCUUCACUAUCUGUAGUAUAGAAUGUCGUCAGUUUCAGGGAUCAGGACUCUACUACAUUAAAGUAGUAUGAUCAAACUAAAGAUAUGUGCCCAAGAGGAUAAUCUGCAAAUUCUGGGAUGAAAAAUGUCAAACAUCUAUCCAAUGGAACUGUGUUUACUGGACAAUUUUUUUUUUCAUUUUGUGUCUGAAUGAAAAAAGUCUUUGUGCAAAUUGUGCUUUUAGAAAAAUAGAUUGGAGGGAAGGAAAGACACUACUGAUAAAUCAUCUACUCAGAAGCCACCUGCCACCUCCUUCCUCUCUGAACCCUGAUUUUGUUCAGCUCACCUGGUGUUCCAGGGCUGGCUGCAUCUCCCUUCAGCCACAGAGGUGCACACUGAUUGAUCCAGGCUAAUUGGUUGUUUUAUUUCCUAGACUAGUGAUUCACAAGGAAUGGACACAUUGGACAACUCUUUCCAAGGAGGUGAAGUCUAGAACUUGUGGGAAAGCUUUCCCUUCCCUUCAGCAAAAUGAAGGGAAAAAAAAGCUCUAUCUUUCUGCCUCUGAAUGUCAUAAUGAGAGGAUAUGAUACUGAGAACAGCCAUCUUGUGACCCAGAAUAAGGAAAAAUCAAGAUUCUUCCAGGAUAGCUGACCUCACUGAGCUGAUAUUAGUGAGAUACUAGUGGAAUUACCCAGCAUCCAGACUUCCUGAAAACAUGCUGAACCUUUAAAGAAGAGUAUAUUCCAUCCAGAUUCCUGCUUGUGGAAGGAGAGAGUCCUUUGAGGUCCGCCAGUUGGUCAUUUUGCCAGAUGUCCUCAAAGAUUCUGCGUGUGUUCAUGCCUUGAUGACAGCUAAACACACUUGACUAGCUUGGAAAGUACAGAGAAAAUGAAGUGGGAGGAGGAAGCAGACAACACCCCAGAGUUCACAAUUGCCCGACCUCAGGAGCUCAAGGCGAUGCAGGCCCGCAGAGGACUUCCUUUAAGAGGGUGGAGGAGUCUGCCAAGCAGGGCAGUCUAUUCUAGUCAAAUCCCAACUUUCCUGGCCAAACUCAAUCAUGCAGGCUUGGAUUUUGUGGAUGGUUUUCCUCUGCUAAAAGAAUGGAGAAACAAAAUUGUUUUCUUAUGAAAUGCGAUGGCUUCCCAAAAUGUCAGUCAAAUACUACUGAUGGGUUUUCCUUAGACUUCCGCUCUCCUGUUAAUAUCCACAUCCCAUGGAACAACACAAAGCACACCUACUGGUACCAACAACAAAUCCCAGCUCCAUAUGUGGACCUCCAGGGACUCUGCCGUUGACAGCUAGCUUUACCCCUUGGGACUCUGUAUGUGCUUAAAACACCACUACCACAUUUUCCCACCCAAGGCUGACCCCACAGCAGCCAACCCUGCCUGUCCCUCAUGCCUUACACACUUGAACCCAAGUGGAAGGAGUUUGUUUUCUUUGUCUUGCUUGUGGAAAUUAAUGGGGAGUAGCAAGAAAAUGCAGUCAAAGACAGAAGUGAUAUCCUGGGAAAGUGACAUCUUAGAAGCUUCCUCCAAGAUGCAUCAUCAACACAAUAAGAACAUCUUGAGCCAGAAGGGACUGAGCCAGAAUACGACCAGCGAGGUCUCAGUGAGUGUUGAGAACAACCAUCCAAAGCACAGCAGAUUCCAGAAUGGAAAAUUAGGAACACAUACAAGGAGUCAGACAUUUGUAAAUAUCUUGUACAAAAUUGUUGGGAGUGGAAGGCUCAUGAUUUUAAUGAUGUACAGGAAGUCAGUAACCGCUGUCCUUUAAUGUCAUGAUUCUAAUUGAAAUCAGAUUUCCUCUUCCCUUAAACCUUCCUAAUUUGGAAUCUUCCUAGCAGUCUCCUCUCCCUCUACACUCAAGGCUCACUGGUGCAUUCUUGGUGGUCGUGUCUCUACCUAGAGUGCUUUCUCUGUGGCUCUCUGCUUGGCUGUUUCUUCCCUGUGCUGUAGGUGCAAUCACCUAUAGCAACCACCUAUUGUAUUGUAGGUGCAACCUCCACCAGGCACCACCACUUCUUGCCUCUAAUGUAGCUGUGUCUUUGUCACAGCCAUGUGUCACAACCGAAACUUAUUCUAUUUGGUUAGAGUUGAAGUCUAAAUGGGUUAUUUAUGUAUUCCUAUGCUCAGACAAAUGGUAGUAUACCAACAAUUACCUUUAGAAUGAAUAAAGAUGAAUAGGGAAUGAAAAGAAUGAUAAUUCAUACUGCUAGCUGCAUGGCCUUGGAAAAGCAAGCAUGUAUUAUCUAUUGGUUGCUUUUUCUUUGCUGGAACAAAAUAUCCGACAUCCACAACUCAAAAGAAGAGAGAUUUACUUUGGCUUACAGUCUUCAGAGGUCUCAGCCAUUGGCUGGCUGGCCCCAGGACAAAUGAGGCAAGGCAGAAGGAUGAGGUGGAAUGAACCUGCCCAAACUAUGGCAGUCAGGAAUCAGAGAGAGAAGGGAGAAGAGCCAAUUUCAUGACCCCAGUGAUCCAACUCCACCCAGACCACACUUCCCAACCUCAAUUUCAACUACUGAAUUCAUCAGUAUGUGCAUCCAUUGAUCAGUACAGCACCCCAUGACCCAAGGACCUUCCAUUAUCGUGUGUACCAGGCUUGUGGUUUGGCAAAUAUCAAAGAAUAUAGUAACCAACCAAAGAAGAAGGAUAGGAAAGUUUUUUAUUGAAAAUAAAAUGAGAAACAACUCUUCGAUUUUGAUUUUGUGUAAUUGUUUAGUGGGCAUCUAUCAUGGGUGGCUUGAUGAAGUUUAAAAAAAUGACCAACUGAAACUCAUGUUCCCAACCCAGUUCCUUCACAUUAUUUUCCAUAAACUGGGAUCUUUGAAAGAAACCAACUAUUGUAUGUUAUAAUUUCCUCAAAAUCCAAAGACUUAAGUAGGGUACAGCUGCACCUCCCUUUAGGAGGGUCUCCAUUCCAUAUUGAUUGAGGUCAAAGUCCUUGUUCAGCAUUCUUAUUUAAAUUUCCAUUAAAUAAUUUAAAUUCCCAUGGCCUAUCCACCUCUAUGUCAGGCCCUUCCCCUAUCUAGCUACCUAACUCAUAAGCUACUAAACUAUGUUCUACACUUCCACAGACAUGAGAUUUUUGUGGGAUUUUAAAUUGAAACCCUAACAAGAAAUAAACAAAAUUUCAGAAAUAAAACCAGAAAGUACAAAGCAUUACUCAAACAUCAAGAAGUUUUUAAUAUUUAAGUUCAGACACUGAAGAAAAUCCUAGAAAACAAACCUAUCAUGAUACUUCCCUUAACUGGAUUCUUUGCAUCAAACCAUUUCUUUAGAAAUCCAUGAAUUUGGGCUGGGGAUUUUGCUCAGCGGCAUAAGCACCUGCCUUCCAAGCAGGCAGCUGUGCGUUCGAUCCCUAGUACCGAUAAAAAUGAAAAAGACAAAAAAUAAAAUAAAAUAAAUCCAUGAAUUUAUCAUUUUCUUCAUUAUAAAUUGCUACCUGGACCUGAACUUUCUUUUUAAUGUAGACUGGAUAUGCCUGUGACAUAAGGAAUACUUUCACCAGCAAAUGUCAGAGGUCUUUGUGAGCAAUGGUGUCUCUGUGACUAGAGCUCAGUCAUAACAGUCACAGUCUGGGGACAGGUCACCAUGUAUGUGUCAGAGCUCUCUGCUCCAAGACACUGGCUUCACUCAUCCUUUACUGGAGCUGGUGUUCAGAAAGAGGCAAUGUGAACAAGGAGUCCAUACAAUAGAGUAACUUUUCCUCCCGCCAGCCCUCAAACUCACAAGACUUUAGAAAUUCAAUUCUUUUGACCAUUCUCUUUUAAACAACAGUUCUCAGAAAAGAAAAAAAAAAAGCUUUUCAAAAGUCAGUGUAAACUACUAUUUAUUUUAAAAUCGAAAGACUAAAAUAUUUUGGCUCCUGAAUCAGAUUUCUGAAGGUAUUUCACUGCCUCUAAUUAAUGUCAGAUUAAAGACAUUUUUAGUCAGUCCAUACAGACUCAUAAAAAAAGAUGGUGAUAUUUACAAGAGUUAAAAAAACAAAUCCCAAGCACCAUCUGCCAUGGGUGAUCCUGACAGCUCUAAUACUAGGCCAUUGUUUUUCUGGAAUUGAAAUACAGAUGACAUUAUUGUACGUAAUCACAGAUUCCUAUCUCUCAAAAGAGGAAGAUAUGCCAGCGACAAAAGGAAUAUGCAGCAAUAUAGAGGGACAUCCGAUAUCCACAUAGAAUUGGUACAGGAGAACUAUAAUUCCCAACCAGUGAGAUAUCAAAUGUGCUGAGUUCGUGGUCCCACACCAUCUAGGAAUGAAGUCUUGAAGCAAAGGAAGAAGUGAGACGAUGUGGUGGACUAACUAAUGGUCAGCUUGUAACACCCAGUUGAACUGAAUCAUCAUAGUGCUGGGUGUGGAAGGCACACCCAAGAGUUGGUGCCAACAUCGUAAAGAGGGAACUGGAGGAGAUGAGAGUGUGCUAUUGAGUCUCCUGCAAAAGCUUGUCAGGCUGGUUUUCCUGAUAUGACUUCAGCUCUUCUCUUCAUUGAAGGAGCUUGGGUCCUCGCUGCUGCUGCAAAGGGCUGCGGUUCUUUUGUGGGGAGCUCUGGUUCUUACCUUAAGCGUUGCUUCCUGACUCCAUGAAGAUUGCUCAGGCUGCUGGCAGACCCUUCACUCUACUGGCGCAGAACUUAUAGCCUCUGCUACUGACUUUUGAGCCUUCCCAAUGCAGGUCCUUGAUACAGAUUUGCAUGAGAUAUUGUUGUGGGCUCUAGGCCUUCAGCUGGACUCACGUAGGACAUUGCAAUGAGAUCCUGACCUCAGCUGGAUUCUUUGGUCUCUAGUGUGUGGACAGAUCUCUUGCACUCCUUGGCAGUUGACUUUUUGGAUGAGUAUUAUAAAAUAGUCCUAUAAAUUAUGCAUCCUGUAUCCAAUCAUUCCCCUGUAAACUCUGACUGCAACAGGCGAGUUUUACUAGAAAUAAGACUAGCUGGUGGAUUCCAGGAGCAGUCCUGAAUGGGGUGCCCACUGAGGCCCUUUGGCAGGGUAAUCUGUAUGGCAAAGUUACAACAUGAGUACUGUGUGGGUCAAACUCCCACCACGCUACAGCAGUGAUCACAAACGGACAGCACAUGUGCCAUCACAGGCAUGCAGAGCCAUUUCUGCAGACUCAUGAGCCAAGUCAGCCCAGCAGCUGAGUGCUGGAUUUCAGUUGUGUUUCUUCUAAAAUAAAAUCUUAGUAUUCAGGUUUAAUUGGAGUGUUGGCACUUCAGAAUAAAUAAGUGGGCUUUGGGUUGCAGCUUGGGUACUUGGUCUCUGAAAGGUUUAGCAUCACUGCCUUAUGGAAUUACAAGUAUAUCCACUUAGCUUAUAUUGAUCCAUUAGGGAAACAAGCCACACAGUAAGGAUGCAUGGAAAGAACAAAGGCAUUUGGAAGGAGGGAUGGGUCCAAAGCUGGGAUCGUCCACUUGGUGAUCCUAGCUGUACUUACUGGACCACGGAGCACUCAUUAGAGUAAAAUUUCAAGUUACUGCUUAUCACAUAGGGAGGCGGGGAAGCCUGGCCGUUGUAUCUCCCACAACUUCUUCAGAUGCACCUCCAGCCACAGUGCUGAUGUUUUUUUAAUUUUUCUGUGCUGACUUGCUCAAAGGCCCAGUCCCUCUCAGCUUAUAUGUGAAAUUCUAUCUAAUUUAUUUGUCUAUAAUAGAAUGAGGAACAUGUGAUAUUUCUAUGGAGGGUCAGCAUUACAUUUUGAACAGAAAAUGUGAUGGUGUAGACAUCUUUACUCCAGAUCUCUAUAGUUGUCUGGUAAAUCAUGUGGGUUAAGUUUUUCUUAAUGUAUUACCUAAGGCCUAAUAUUUAAAUAAUUUAUCACUUUCAUUCAGUAGCACUCAGUUAUCUCAUGAUUAUAAUAAAAUAAACAUGAAGCUAGUUAUACGUUUCGGUUGGGGGGAGGGAGUCCGUCUCCUGAAAUUUUCUCAUAUAUAGAAACUUCUCUUUAAAAUAUAUAAAUGUUUUUUUUUAAUUUUCUCAGCUCCAUCAAAUGUUGCUAGUCAAAGCUCACAUGUAGGAAUUUAUACUUCUACUGAUAGGCCAGGAGCAGUCUGAUGGAUUCAAUCUAAUUUAUUUAGAUUUCAAGAGUGGUGAAGAAAUGAUUGUUUUUGAGGUCACAUCAGGACCUUUUUUUCUACCAAGCAACCUUAAGACAUUUUCCCACCACAUGUUGGUUUCCAUUAUUAGGAGCUUGGCCAACAUGUAUUUAGUUUGGCAGCCAGCCACAAAAUGUUUGCUGAGUCUCGAUGGUACCAAGUUUGACAGAAAGCCCACUGGAAAGAAAGGUAUUUUCAAGUUAGUAUUUUCACAUCAAAAAUAGAAGGCUAAACGUCUCUCUUGUGAAAAGAAGAGCUUUAUUAUCCUGCUGCACAUUCUUCUGUGAUGGGAAAUACAGGCAUCUUGUUUUUACUUACAUCUCCCUAACACUGCUAGGUAAGAGAGAGUAUUUUUGGUGACCGCAGAAGAAUCCCCAGAUGCGAGGACAGGAUUGACUGCACAGUUAAAGGGCUCGUCUGAGAGAGCUUCCAGUGUUUCUUCUUGCCAAGUCGUCUCUCUAGAGCAGGGUGUUUGGUUUUACAAAUGCCUCCUUGCUGGACCCUGGUACCUUAGUUUAACCCUUUCAGUCACUCUACAGUUGAAUACAAUUGAAAGCCUCCUAUUUUGUUCUAAGGCUAUUUUCUGGGCAAAAAAAAAUUUUUUUUGAUGGUGACUGUUUUUCAGAAAUGGCCAACCAGCCCCUCAAGUCCCAUGUUAGCUAAGUCUUUGUUAGCAGGCAGUUUGAUGUCAGUUCUUUGGAGAAUACUAGUAAAGGGCAAAGAGGAUCCCUGACAGUGGUCAAGGAACUUGAUCCUGAGGUCCUGAGAUAUGUAACAGUCAUAGCGAUUCCAACAUCUAAGGUGCAUCACAUCAUUUACAAAUUUAAAUUGCUUAACUGGCAAAAGUUGAUGUGACCAUUAAUCUUGAUAUGUCCAUUUCACUGGAUUCAGAAAAGCCUGGCAGAUCAGUAAGAAUGCUUGUGGGUCUGGGUGAGCUGUGAUUGUGACUUUGGACACAAUCUAUCAUCUUUCAUCUGCUCUUCUCCAGAAUGUUCCCCCUACUCUGCUUUCUAGUCACUAUGAACUAAGCAUCUUUCUCCGCCAUAACUUCAACCAUGAACUGAACCUCCUGAAACUGGAAACUAAAUAAGUGUUUGCUCUUUUAAGUUGUGUCAGGUAUUGUGUCCCAGCAACUGGAUCAAUGCAUUUGAUUAUUAAAUUAUUGUAACUCUAA
Long non-coding RNA from Cavia porcellus (domestic guinea pig), 8477 nucleotides. RefSeq lists it as uncharacterized. The record is from RefSeq and is a predicted model, not a curated record. NCBI's taxonomy places the organism in Eukaryota, Metazoa, Chordata, Mammalia, Rodentia, Caviidae. The transcript has 5 exons.